This 479-nucleotide ribosomal RNA is filed under the name uncultured bacterium. Its description in RNAcentral is "partial 16S ribosomal RNA". It matches the Rfam family "Bacterial small subunit ribosomal RNA", at positions 29 to 507 of the family's 1533-position model. The record is from RNAcentral.
AUGAACGCUAGCGGCAGGCCUAACGCAUGCAAGUCGAGGGGGAAGUUACUUUCGGGUGACUGAGACCGGCGUACGGGUGCGUAACGCGUAUACAAUCUGCCUUUCACUGGGGGGUAGCCCGAAGAAAUUUGGAUUAAUACCCCAUAGUAUAUAGGGACGGCAUCGUUUUUAUAUUAAAGCUUAGGUGGUGAAAGAUGAGUAUGCGUUCUAUUAGCUAGUUGGAGAGGUAACGGCUCCCCAAGGCGAUGAUAGAUAGGGGUUCUGAGAGGGAUGUCCCCCACACUGGUACUGAGAUACGGACCAGACUCCUACGGGAGGCAGCAGUGAGGAAUAUUGGACAAUGGUCGGAAGACUGAUCCAGCCAUGCCGCGUGCAGGAUGAAGGUCUUAUGGAUUGUAAACUGCUUUUGUAAGGGAAGAAUAAGGGCUACGCGUAGUUUGAUGACGGUACCUUACGAAUAAGCAUCGGCUAACUCCGUG